AUUGAACGCUGGCGGAAUGCUUUACACAUGCAAGUCGAACGGCAGCACGGACUUCGGUCUGGUGGCGAGUGGCGAACGGGUGAGUAAUGUAUCGGAACGUGCCCAGUCGUGGGGGAUAACGUAGUGAAAAUUACGCUAAUACCGCAUACGAUCUAUGGAUGAAAGCGGGGGAUCGCAAGACCUCGCGCGAUGGGAGCGGCCGAUAUCAGAUUAGGUAGUUGGUGGGGUAAAGGCCCACCAAGCCAACGAUCCGUAGCUGGUCUGAGAGGACGACCAGCCCCACUGGAACUGAGACACGGUCCAGACUCCUACGGGAGGCAGCAGUGGGGAAUUUUGGACAAUGGGCGAAAGCCUGAUCCAGCCAUUCCGCGUGCAGGAUGAAGGCCCUCGGGUUGUAAACUGCUUUUGUACAGAACGAAAAGGUUUCUACUAAUACUAGGAGCUCAUGACGGUACUGUAAGAAUAAGCACCGGCUAACUACGUGCCAGCCGCCGCCGUAA
This 500-nucleotide ribosomal RNA is filed under the name uncultured bacterium. RNAcentral describes it as "partial 16S ribosomal RNA". It matches the Rfam family "Bacterial small subunit ribosomal RNA", at positions 30 to 523 of the family's 1533-position model. The record is from RNAcentral.